GAACGCUGGCGGUGCGCCUUAUGCAUGCAAGUCGAGCGAAGCUUUUCAGUAGUUUACUACAGAAAAUGACUGAGCGGCGAACGGGUGAGUAACGCGUGAGCAACCUACCUUAGUUACUGGGAUAGCCCGAGGAAACUCGGAUUAAUACCGGAUAUUCUUAUUUAAUCACAUGAUUUUUUAAGGAAAGGUCAGCCGAAGUAAGAUGGGCUCGCGUUGUAUCAGCUAGUUGGUAGGGUAAUGGCCUACCAAGGCUACGACGGAUAGCUGGUCUGAGAGGACGAUCAGCCACACUGGGACUGAGACACGGCCCAGACUCCUACGGGAGGCUGCAGCAGGGAAUAUUGCGCAAUGAGCGAAAGCUUGACGCAGCGACACCGCGUGUGGGAUGACGGAUCUAGGUUUGUAAACCACUUUCAGGAGGGAAGAAAAUGACGGUACCUCCACAAGAAGCCCCGGCCAACUACGUGCC
This 469-nucleotide ribosomal RNA is filed under the name uncultured bacterium. RNAcentral's name for it is "bacterial SSU rRNA". It matches the Rfam family "Bacterial small subunit ribosomal RNA", at positions 31 to 509 of the family's 1533-position model. The record is from RNAcentral.